Molecule: ribosomal RNA, 434 nt
Filed under: uncultured Lachnospiraceae bacterium
Lineage: Bacteria; Bacillati; Bacillota; Clostridia; Lachnospirales; Lachnospiraceae
Description: partial 16S ribosomal RNA
Rfam family: Bacterial small subunit ribosomal RNA
Source: RNAcentral
ACGGGAGGCAGCAGUGGGGAAUAUUGCACAAUGGGGGCAACCCUGAUGCAGCGACGCCGCGUGAGUGAAGAAGUAUUUCGGUAUGUAAAGCUCUAUCAGCAGGGAAGAAAAUGACGGUACCUGACUAAGAAGCCCCGGCUAACUACGUGCCAGCAGCCGCGGUAAUCCGUAGGGGGCAAGCGUUAUCCAGAUUUACUGGGUGUAAAGGGAGCGUAGACGGCGAUGCAAGUCUGAUGUGAAAGCCCGGGGCUCAACCCCGGCACUGCAUUGGAAACUGUGUUGCUAGAGUGCAGGAGAGGUGAGUGGAAUUCCUAGUGUAGCGGUGAAAUGCGUAGAUAUUAGGAGGAACACCAGUGGCGAAGGCGGCUUACUGGACUGUAACUGACGUUGAGGCUCGAAAGCGUGGGGAGCAAACAGGAUUAGAUACCCUGGUA